RNAcentral lists this ribosomal RNA (215 nucleotides) under Salmonella enterica subsp. enterica serovar Anatum. RNAcentral describes it as "partial 16S ribosomal RNA". It matches the Rfam family "Bacterial small subunit ribosomal RNA", at positions 869 to 1083 of the family's 1533-position model. The record is from RNAcentral. Lineage: Bacteria; Pseudomonadati; Pseudomonadota; Gammaproteobacteria; Enterobacterales; Enterobacteriaceae.
CCGCCUGGGGAGUACGGCCGCAAGGUUAAAACUCAAAUGAAUUGACGGGGGCCCGCACAAGCGGUGGAGCAUGUGGUUUAAUUCGAUGCAACGCGAAGAACCUUACCUGGUCUUGACAUCCACAGAAGAAUCCAGAGAUGGAUUUGUGCCUUCGGGAACUGUGAGACAGGUGCUGCAUGGCUGUCGUCAGCUCGUGUUGUGAAAUGUUGGGUUAA